GAUGAAGAACGCAGCGAAAUGCGAUACGUAAUGUGAAUUGCAGAAUUCAGUGAAUCAUCGAGUCUUUGAACGCACAUUGCGCCCCCUGGUAUUCCGGGGGGCAUGCCUGUCCGAGCGUCAUUGCUGCCCUCAAGCACGGCUUGUGUAUUGGGCCUCCGUCCUCCUCCCGGGGGACGGGCCCGAAAGGCAGCGGCGGCACCGCGUCCGGUCCUCGAGCGUAUGGGGCUUCGUCACCCGCUCUUGUAGGCCCGGCCGGCGCUUGCCGACACAUCAAUCUUUUUUCCAGGUUGACCUCGGAUCAGGUAGGGAUACCCGCUGAACUUAAGCAUAUCAAUAAGCGGAGGA
Molecule: unclassified non-coding RNA, 345 nt
Filed under: soil metagenome
Description: partial contains 5.8S ribosomal RNA, internal transcribed spacer 2, and large subunit ribosomal RNA
Rfam family: 5.8S ribosomal RNA (bases 1-120)
Source: RNAcentral